GAAAGUAAUAAAGGGCGUAUGGGGGAUGCCUAGGCUCUUGGAGGCGAAGAAAGACGUGGUAAGCUGCGAUAAGCCUCGGGGAUUUGCAAACGAGAAUUGAUCCGAGGAUUUCUGAAUGGGACAACCCGGCAGGCAGAAGGCCUGUCACACGAAAGUGGGCCAACCCUCUGAACUGAAACAUCUUAGUAGGAGGAGGAAAAGAAAGAAACAUCGAUUUCCUAAGUAGCGGCGAGCGAACGGGAAACAGCCUAAACCACAAUUGUUACGGCAACUGUGGGGUUGUAGGACUGCAAUAUUCAAAUGACUGUGAACUGGAAUGUUCUGGAAAGUUCAUCCAAAGAGAGUGAAAGACUCGUACAGGCAAGCAAGUCAGGCGAUAGCAGUAUCCUGAGUAGGGCGGGACACGAGGAAUCCUGUCUGAAUCCGCCGGGACCACCCGGUAAGGCUAAAUACUCCCAAGAGACCGAUAGUGAACCAGUACCGUGAGGGAAAGGUGAAAAGAACCCCGAACAGGGGAGUGAAAUAGAACCUGAAACCAUACGCUUACAACCGGUCGGAGCAGCUUCGUGCUGUGACGGCGUGCCUAUUGAAUAAUGAGCCUACGAGUUACUAAUCACUAGCGAGGUUAAGUGCAAGGAUGCACGGAGCCGAAGCGAAAGCGAGUCUGAACAGGGCGUUUAGUUAGUGGUUGUAGACGCGAAACCUUGCGAUCUACCCUUGAGCAGGUUGAAGGUUGGGUAAAACCAACUGGAGGACCGAACGAAUAAGCGUUGAAAAGCUUCUCGAUGACUUGAGGGUAGGGGUGAAAGGCUAAUCAAGCUGGGAAAUAGCUCGUACUCCCCGAAAUGCCUUUUGGGGCAGCGUUGUAAUAAAGAGUCUACUGGAGGUAGAGCUACUGAUUGGAUGCGGGGGCUUCACCGCCUACCAAAUCCUGACAAACUCCGAAUGCCAGUAGUAUGAUUUACAGCAGUGAGUGACUGGGUGCUAAUGUCCAGUCGCAAAAGAGGAACAACUCAGACCAGCAACUAAGGUCCCGAAGAAUAUGCUAAGUUGAUCUAACGAUGUUUUGUUGCAGAGACAGCUAGGAUGUUAGCUUGGAAGCAGCUAUUCAUUCAAAGAGUGCGUAACAGCUCACUAGUCGAGCGACAGAGCGUGGAUAAUAAACGGGCAUCAAGCAUAUCACCGAAGUUCUGGGCGCGAGAGCGCGGUAGGGGAGCAUUCCAUUCAGCGUCGAAGCAGUUUCGUGAGGAAUUGUGGAGCGUAUGGAAAAGCAAAUGUAGGCAUGAGUAACGAUAAUGCGGGAGAGUAACCCGCACACCGCAAGACCAAGGUUUCCUGAUCAACGCUAAUCGGAUCAGGGUUAGUCGGGUCCUAAGGGUAAGCCGAACGGCGAUCUCGAUGGAUAAUCGGUUAAUAUUCCGAUACUAACAUAUACCUCGAUGGAGAGACGAAGGAACGUAAGUGCCGCCACCUGACGGAAUAGGUGGUUAAAGGGCGUAGGUAUAGGGGCAGAUUAAGAGUUAGUCCUUGCUGAAACCUGACAGUACAGAGAGCCUACGGGCAAUUUGAUAGAGCACCCAAGUCGACUUCCGAGAAAAUCUUCUAAGUUAUAGUAUAUGUUACCCGUACCGUAAACCGACACAGGUGGUCGAGGAGAGUAUCCUAAGGUGCUCGAGUGAAUCACGGUUAAGGAACUAGGCAAAUUAACCCCGUAACUUCGGGAAAAGGGGUCCCUAUGAAAGUAGGGCGCAGCGAAGAGGUCCAGGCGACUGUUUAUCAAAAACACAGGGCUCUGCAAAUUCGAAAGAAGACGUAUAGGGCCUGACACCUGCCCGGUGCUGGAAGGUUAAGAGGGGAUGUCAUCGCAAGAGAAGCAUUGAAUCGAAGCCCCAGUAAACGGCGGCCGUAACUAUAACGGUCCUAAGGUAGCGAAAUUCCUUGUCGGGUAAGUUCCGACCUG
This 1960-nucleotide ribosomal RNA is filed under the name human gut metagenome. RNAcentral describes it as "bacterial LSU rRNA". It matches the Rfam family "Bacterial large subunit ribosomal RNA", at positions 1 to 1990 of the family's 2925-position model. The record is from RNAcentral.